GAUGAACGCUGGCGGCGUGCUUAACACAUGCAAGUCGAGCGGAAAGGCGCGGCUUUUGUGGCGUGCUCGUUAGGGGAGCGCGGGAGAAACACGUGAGUAUAAUGCCCCUGUAUUAGGGGGAAAAUCAGGAGAAAGGGGAUCAUACCGGGUAUAAGAUCCUGCUGCACGGGGGGCGAAGGUGAGAUUCGGCGGUGCGGGAUGGUCUCGAGGGUUAUCAGCUGCAUGGGGGGGUAGUGGCUUUCCAGGGCUUUGAAGGGUAGCCGGCCUGGGAGGGUGACCGGCCACAUUGGGACUGAGGUACGGCCCAGACUCCUACGGGCGGCAGCAGUGGGGAAUAUUGCACAAUGGGCGGAAGCCUGAUGCAGCAACGCCGCGUGCGGGAUGACGGCCUUCGGGUUGUAAACCGCUUUCGCCUGUGACGAAGCGUGAGUGACGGUAAUGGGUAAAGAAGCACCGGCUAACUACGUG
Molecule: ribosomal RNA, 468 nt
Filed under: uncultured bacterium
Lineage: Bacteria
Description: partial 16S ribosomal RNA
Rfam family: Bacterial small subunit ribosomal RNA
Source: RNAcentral